RNAcentral lists this ribosomal RNA (468 nucleotides) under uncultured bacterium. RNAcentral describes it as "partial 16S ribosomal RNA". It matches the Rfam family "Bacterial small subunit ribosomal RNA", at positions 28 to 507 of the family's 1533-position model. The record is from RNAcentral.
GACGAACGCUGGCGGCGUGCUUAACACAUGCAAGUCGAACGGAAAGGCCCUGCUUUUGUGGGGUGCUCGAGUGGCGAACGGGUGAGUAACACGUGAGUAACCUGCCCUUGACUUUGGGAUAACUUCAGGAAACUGGGGCUAAUACCGGAUAGGAGCUCCUGCUGCAUGGUGGGGGUUGGAAAGUUUCGGCGGUUGGGGAUGGACUCGUGGCUUGUCAGCUUGUUGGUGGGGUAGUGGCUUACCAAGGCUUUGACGGGUAGCCGUCCUGAGAGGGUGACCGGCCACAUUGGGACUGAGAUACGGCCCGGACUCCUACGGGAGGCAGCAGUGGGGAAUAUUGCACUAUGGGCGGAAGCCUGAUGCAGCAACGCCGCGUGCGGGAUGACGGCCUUCGGGUUGUAAUCCGCUUUCGCCUGUGACGAAGCGUGAGUGACGGUAAUGGGUAAAGAAGCACCGGCUAACUACGUG